Molecule: ribosomal RNA, 1269 nt
Filed under: uncultured Actinomycetes bacterium
Lineage: Bacteria; Bacillati; Actinomycetota; Actinomycetes
Description: bacterial SSU rRNA
Rfam family: Bacterial small subunit ribosomal RNA
Source: RNAcentral
GAACGAUGAUCCCAGCUUGCUGGGGAUUAGUGGCGAACGGGUGAGUAACACGUGAGUAACCUGCCCUUAACUCUGGGAUAAGCCUGGGAAACUGGGUCUAAUACCGGAUAUGACUCCUCAUCGCAUGGUGGGGGUGGAAAGCUUUAUUGUGGUUUUGGAUGGACUCGCGGCCUAUCAGCUUGUUGGUGAGGUAAUGGCUCACCAAGGCGACGACGGGUAGCCGGCCUGAGAGGGUGACCGGCCACACUGGGACUGAGACACGGCCCAGACUCCUACGGGAGGCAGCAGUGGGGAAUAUUGCACAAUGGGCGAAAGCCUGAUGCAGCGACGCCGCGUGAGGGAUGACGGCCUUCGGGUUGUAAACCUCUUUCAGUAGGGAAGAAGCGAAAGUGACGGUACCUGCAGAAGAAGCGCCGGCUAACUACGUGCCAGCAGCCGCGGUAAUACGUAGGGCGCAAGCGUUAUCCGGAAUUAUUGGGCGUAAAGAGCUCGUAGGCGGUUUGUCGCGUCUGCCGUGAAAGUCCGGGGCUCAACUCCGGAUCUGCGGUGGGUACGGGCAGACUAGAGUGAUGUAGGGGAGACUGGAAUUCCUGGUGUAGCGGUGAAAUGCGCAGAUAUCAGGAGGAACACCGAUGGCGAAGGCAGGUCUCUGGGCAUUAACUGACGCUGAGGAGCGAAAGCAUGGGGAGCGAACAGGAUUAGAUACCCUGGUAGUCCAUGCCGUAAACGUUGGGCACUAGGUGUGGGGGACAUUCCACGUUUUCCGCGCCGUAGCUAACGCAUUAAGUGCCCCGCCUGGGGAGUACGGCCGCAAGGCUAAAACUCAAAGGAAUUGACGGGGGCCCGCACAAGCGGCGGAGCAUGCGGAUUAAUUCGAUGCAACGCGAAGAACCUUACCAAGGCUUGACAUGAACCGGAAACACCUGGAAACAGGUGCCCCGCUUGCGGUCGGUUUACAGGUGGUGCAUGGUUGUCGUCAGCUCGUGUCGUGAGAUGUUGGGUUAAGUCCCGCAACGAGCGCAACCCUCGUUCUAUGUUGCCAGCGCGUUAUGGCGGGGACUCAUAGGAGACUGCCGGGGUCAACUCGGAGGAAGGUGGGGACGACGUCAAAUCAUCAUGCCCCUUAUGUCUUGGGCUUCACGCAUGCUACAAUGGCCGGUACAAAGGGUUGCGAUACUGUGAGGUGGAGCUAAUCCCAAAAAGCCGGUCUCAGUUCGGAUUGGGGUCUGCAACUCGACCCCAUGAAGUCGGAGUCGCUAGUAAUCGCAG